UACGAAGGGUGCAAGCGUUACUCGGAAUUACUGGGCGUAAAGGGCUCGUAGGUGGCCAACUAAGUCAGACGUGAAAUCCCCAGGCUCAACCUGGGAACUGCGUCUGAUACUGGAUGGCUUGAAUUCGGGAGAGGGAUGCAGAAUUCCAGGUGUAGCGGUGAAAUGCGUAGAUAUCUGGAGGAAUACCGGUGGCGAAGGCGGCAUCCUGGACCGAUAUUGACACUGAUGAGCGAAAGCCAGGGGAGCAAACGGG
Molecule: ribosomal RNA, 253 nt
Filed under: uncultured bacterium
Lineage: Bacteria
Description: partial 16S ribosomal RNA
Rfam family: Bacterial small subunit ribosomal RNA
Source: RNAcentral